RNAcentral lists this small RNA (25 nucleotides) under Bombyx mori (domestic silkworm). Its description in RNAcentral is "ovarian small RNA-24622". The record is from RNAcentral. Lineage: Eukaryota; Metazoa; Arthropoda; Insecta; Lepidoptera; Bombycidae.
UCAACGACAAAGGCAGACCAAGAGC